UGUUCCCGCGUUCCUCUGUGCAGCGUAUUCCGUCCAGUCUGACUCCCUGGGUUCUGGGCCCUUUUUAUUUAUUUGAUUUUUUUUAAAAAAAAAUUUUUUUUUCGCCGAUUGUUGGUUUUUCGAUCACUGGGUUGGAAGAAUGCUUGAGGGAGAAGGUAGGUAAGGGGGAGGGGUUUCGUUAUUUAUUUUAUGUUUUUCCUUUCACUUCCCUCUCUCGCUCUCUCCCCCUCUAUUGAUUGAUUGAAUUUGUCCCCCACAUUUGAGACGGCUCGCGACGGCGCAGGAUGUUUUAUCAACAACACCUCCACUGAGAGAAUGGAUGCAGUGCAGUUACAGAUGAUCUCAUGCACGAGAAUUGAUUCGGUCACGGUUUUCAUCCAUGGGAGGUUUCUUUGAGAAAAUUGAAUGAACGGGUGAACCAGGGGUAGAGAGAGAGAGAGAGAGAGAGAGAGAGAGAAUGAAUGAAAAGCAACCCGUCUCAAGCUACAGCCAAAGAAAACAAAAUGCUGGGUUGCCAAUAACACCUGUGCACUG
Molecule: small RNA, 534 nt
Filed under: Histoplasma capsulatum var. duboisii H88
Lineage: Eukaryota; Fungi; Ascomycota; Eurotiomycetes; Onygenales; Ajellomycetaceae
Description: Histoplasma capsulatum H88 hypothetical RNA
Source: RNAcentral